This 250-nucleotide ribosomal RNA is filed under the name uncultured bacterium. Its description in RNAcentral is "partial 16S ribosomal RNA". It matches the Rfam family "Bacterial small subunit ribosomal RNA", at positions 524 to 776 of the family's 1533-position model. The record is from RNAcentral.
UACGAAGGGGCUAGCGUUGCUCGGAAUCACUGGGCGUAAAGCGCACGUAGGCGGCUUUUAAGUCAGGGGUGAAAUCCUGGAGCUCAACUCCAGAACUGCCUUUGAUACUGAGAGCUUGAGUCCGGGAGAGGUGAGUGGAACUGCGAGUGUAGAGGUGAAAUUCGUAGAUAUUCGCAAGAACACCAGUGGCGAAGGCGGCUCACUGGCCCGGUACUGACGCUGAGGUGCGAAAGCGUGGGGAGCAAACAGG